GAUCAUGAAAUUUUUACAAUAUAAAGAGAUCAAAUCACAUUCUAUUUUUACAUACUAAAAUGAAAAAAAAUAUGGCUCAUAUUCUAAAGUUUGUUUAUGCUACGAUUCUUGUUCUAUUCUUAUUUUUUGUUGCAACAAAAGUUGAUGGAGCAGUACAUAAGGAAUGUAAAACUGAUGUCGAUUGUCGACAAAUAUGGUUUGUUACUAAGUGCAUUAAUCACGAAUGUCAACCAAUUCUAUGAAUACCAAACCCACGAGAGUACACAAACGCCCAAUCAAGAAGAAUGUUUUGUUAUGCUACCAAAAUAAAUGUGCAAUAUACCGAAUGCCAAAAUAUUUCAUGAUCUAUCAUUUAGUUAUUAUGUUGGUACCAAAUAGUUGUAUUUUUCUUUUCCUAAUUUAAAUGAUCUCGUAGAAUAAGAGAUGUUGUAUAUGUUAGAGUAAACCUUAAUAGAUAAUCUAUGUUGAUUAGAUUUACUUUUUUAUUAUGACCUUGUUAUACACACACAAAAUUGUAUUUAUUAUGUUAUUUGUUAUAUAACAUAAUAAUGUCCUUAUAAUAGGUAAUAUGUUUAAUGUCAAA
This is a long non-coding RNA of Medicago truncatula (barrel medic), 583 nucleotides long. RefSeq lists it as uncharacterized. NCBI's taxonomy places the organism in Eukaryota, Viridiplantae, Streptophyta, Magnoliopsida, Fabales, Fabaceae. The record is from RefSeq and is a predicted model, not a curated record. The transcript has 2 exons.